GGGGCUGAUUCUGGAUUCGACGGGAUUUGCGAAACCCAAGGUGCAUGCCGAGGGGCGGUUGGCCUCGUAAAAAGCCGCAAAAAAAUAGUCGCAAACGACGAAACCUACGCUUUAGCAGCUUAAUAACCUGCUUAGAGCCCUCUCUCCCUAGCCUCCGCUCUUAGGACGGGGAUCAAGAGAGGUCAAACCCAAAAGAGAUCGCGUGGAUGCCCUGCCUGGGGUUGAAGCGUUAAAACGAGUCAGGCUAGUCUGGUAGUGGCGUGUCCGUCCGCAGGUGCCAGGCGAAUGUAAAGACUGACUAAGCAUGUAGUACCGAGGAUGUAGGAAUUUCGGACGCGGGUUCAACUCCCGCCAGCUCCACCA
Molecule: transfer-messenger RNA, 363 nt
Filed under: Salmonella enterica
Lineage: Bacteria; Pseudomonadati; Pseudomonadota; Gammaproteobacteria; Enterobacterales; Enterobacteriaceae
Also listed under: 2 other names
Rfam family: transfer-messenger RNA
About the family: Bacterial tmRNA, also known as 10Sa RNA or SsrA, is named for its dual tRNA and mRNA-like properties. Its role is to liberate the mRNA from a stalled ribosome.
Source: RNAcentral